Molecule: ribosomal RNA, 433 nt
Filed under: uncultured bacterium
Lineage: Bacteria
Description: partial 16S ribosomal RNA
Rfam family: Bacterial small subunit ribosomal RNA
Source: RNAcentral
AACGAACGCUGGCGGCAUGCCUAACACAUGCAAGUCGAACGAGACCUCCGGGUCUAGUGGCGCACGGGUGCGUAACGCGUGGGAACCUGCCCUUAGGUUCGGAAUACCUCCCUGUAAGGGGUGCUAAUACCGGAGAAUGUAUUCGGACCAAGGAUCUAUCGCCUUUGGAUGGGCCCGCGUUGGUUUAGCCGGUUGGUAGGGUAAAAGCCUAUCAAGGCGACGAUCCUUGGCUGGUCUGAGAGGAUGACCAGCUACACUGGGAAUGAGACACGGCCCAGACUCCUACGGGAGGGAGCAGUGGGGAAUAUUGGACAAUGGGCGAAAGCCUGAUCCAGCAAUGCGGCGUGAGUGAUGAAGGCCUUAGGGUUGUAAAGCUCUUUUACCCGGGAUGAUAAUGACAGUACCGGGAGAAUAAGCACCGGCUAACUACGUG